This 326-nucleotide long non-coding RNA is filed under the name Struthio camelus australis. RNAcentral describes it as "lncRNA (ENSSCUG00000012920.1)". Lineage: Eukaryota; Metazoa; Chordata; Aves; Struthioniformes; Struthionidae. The record is from RNAcentral.
AGGAAUAAAAGGAAGAGGUUACAGCUGACAGUGUUCCACUGACAAGCAAUACUGACUAAAGCCAAAAGAUAGGAUCAACAGUACAGAACGGAAGUAAUGGAAUAGUUGACUGCUCACCCUCAAAAAUAACACACACCUGAAUACUACAAAACGUGGGAGUUGUGCUCUUUAUGGUGUUUCGUAUCAGACGAGGACAUAGAUAUCUACCAGAAGACUUCCCAAGGUGCUUAUAGUUCCUACAAGGUUAGUGAAUCUGUUAUAAAAAUUGAAAGUACUACCAUUGGUAGAAAAUUUUGUUUGUGAGGUGCGGGGGGAAGGGUGGAAGG